ACUCAUCAAAGGUGAGAUUACGCUUUUGUUUUUGUUUUGUUAGAAUAAAGAUUACAACGAUUAAAUUUACACUUAUCAAUCAACCAAAGUUCAGAGGCCUUUCUCUUAGCUGUCAUGGUAGUUGUGUUUCUCUUCGUUCAAGGUCGCAACAUUCUCUUGUUUUCUUGCCAGAUUGCAGGUUCUUCCUUAUCGGAUCGGGGCGUUGGUUUGAUUUCGUUCUUGGAUCUUGUUGCUUCCUCUUUGGUAACCCUUUGCUGAAGGCUGGCUAAAAGGUGAGUUGAGUUGGAAGCUGAAUCACUCAAAGUAUGAAAAUGCAUACUGUAAUUUCUUCUCUUGUUCGUUCUUAGCUUGGUAAUCCUUAUAUGACUUUUUCUGAAUCGGCGUCUCGCAUGGUAUCUUAUUGCUGUGCCUUUACACGUCUCCGUGCUCUAAGAAGCUUACCCAUCUAAUUUCAGCAAUUCUUUGAAAAAUGUUUAAACUCUUUCUCUGGUUGACAUAUUAGGAUAUUAUUUGAUAAUUAUUUCGCUUUCAGUUUUUUAACUGAAAUGAUUAUUGUUUGAGCCAUAAAUUAGGCCUGCUAAGGCCUAUCCAUUUUAUUCACGCGAAAGUCGCAUGACUUUGGCCCACCAACUUCGAAGCUCAAACCAAUGCUCAGAGGACCAUCUCACUUAACUCCAACAUGUCUAAGGCUUGAAUAGAAAUCUCUUCGAAGUGUUUCUUCCACGCAAGCGACCCAGGUCUGAAAGUAUUUCGUCUCCUUAAAUACCUAUGCAUGCAUCAUCCACAUGCUGAUGCCACAAACACGUCAUCCGACACAAUAUGUCACUACCACCACCUAGAAAUUACAGUCACUGUUAGCAUCAAAUGACCGAUUUACCCCUGCUCCAGCUUAACAAUGUGAUCGAGGUUGGUUUUUUUCCUGUGCCUAUAAAUAGAGCCACAUGCCUUCAAGCUCAGGACCUUUGUCAAAUUUAAUCAACCCAAAUGUUUUUCCAGCACAAACCCAAUUGCUUUUCAGCAAAACUUUUUAGCUUUUUAGCUACAAUAUCAAGCCUUCUUUCGAAGCAAACACUGCCUAUGAUCCUUGUGAUCCAAAACCUUUACAGCUCAGUCACCCUGUAGUAAAAUUCGAUUGAUUUGCAUUUCCAACCACCAUGAAUUUCUCUCUAAGGCGCAUGUUUUGUACUAAGUCCAGUCUAAUACUAGUGAUCUCGAUGGACUACUCUAGCAUUAUCUUGCUCUUUAUGGCCUGAAUUUUGCUAGAGUUUAAUUGCUUUCUUUACAUUUCCAAUCAAUUUACAUUUCAAGUCAUGUAGCUUGGCCCAUCUGCCUAAAUUUUACUUUUGUAAACGUUUGUAACCUUGACUUCAUCAUGAAAUAAUUGCAUUAUGUUUCUCAUUUUAGUUUCUAUUUCGCUUUCAUUUACUUUUUAGGCAAGCAUACAGGAAGUUACACUGAAUUUUAAGUCCUUGUUCGCUCGAUACACAUAAAAGAAUUUAACCAAAUCAAUGUCCUACUCAAUACACAAUCUUUUGUUUAAGAAGUCAAAUUUAACACAACUUUCACACACGGGCGAACACAACAUUGUUGUUGGCAACCUCUAACACUGACAAGCCUCUCUCUUUCUCUCGAGCCAUCCUGUAACGCUGAGACCAAAAAUAACACUCGCAGCAGUAUGUGUUGUACUCAAUUUAGAUUCUAUCUGAGUUUUGACACCAACAAUUGUGUUACAAAGCUUAUAAUUUUGUACAUUUCUUUCGUUCUUGGUCUUUUUCCAAGUAUUUUUUAAUUGCUAAUCUUUUAUUACAAACGAACAUAUAAAGGGAAAAAAAAAACCUUACAUUAUUGUUUAUCUAUAAAUGAGAAGACUGGCUACUCUGGACAUGUAGGUUAAUUAACAAUUAGAUAGCCCAUAGCUGCAGCCUCUUUUGAAGAUUGCCCCAACUCAAUCUAUUGAAGCUGUCGGGUUAAAACCUACUUGUUGGCCGAAGAUCUUUGGGACAUCGUCGAAGGCACCAAUGAACCUACGGAUGUAAUUUUUUUUAUCGACGUUUCCAAACGAGGCAAAGCUCCUAAAACAGAUGAAACAAAAAGAUGAACGUAAGGCUUGGAGGAGGAAGGAUGCCAGGGCCUUAUAUGCAAUCCAGAGUUUUUGUGGGGACGAUACUUGUGAGUUUUUCAAGAGCGCAAUCACGGCAAAAGAAGCAUGGGAUAUUUUGUCAAAUAAAUUGAUGCCACAUUAUAUACAGUCAACCAUCAGACAGAACAAGAACAGAGCAUAUUGUAUCAUGUGUGAAGCCUAGCGAUCUUACGUGCUCCACUUCACUCGAUUUGUGUUGUCCACGUAUUAAGCUUGAAAAUUCACAUGAGGGAGCUUGUUGAGAGUGAAUCCCACAUCGGAGAAAAGAGGGACCUUGCUUGUGCUUUUUAGUAGCUGCGUUGCCUUCUCAUUUACCAGUUGGUUUUACGGUGGAAUCCUAAUUUUCUAUGACAAUUGAAGAGGGGAGGGCGGAGAAAAAGGGAGGGGGUGGGGAGGGAUGGAGCUGAUCAACACACGGCAAUGGUCACACGUGCUCCAUGUCAUUCGAUUUGUGUUGUCCACGUGUUAAGCUUAAAGAUUCACCACAUAUGAGGAAGCUUGUUGAGAGUGAAUUCCACAUCAGAAAAAAUAGGGAUCUUACUUGUGCUUAUUAGUAGGCGUAUUACCUAGUAUUUUGUAUUUAUUAUGGAUUAAUAAAGCAUUCUGAUUAGUAGCUGAACUUCUCACACACGUAGGCAUUUGUAAGAAAGGAAAAGAAAAGACAAAUUAAGAAUUGAUGGUAACAUUGACCAUCAAGAUUUCCAUUUUCAAAUGAGAGGUCACUUCUUCAAGCGUAUCCAGCCCCGAUGAUGAUGGGCCAACCCCAACUGAUCGUGAAGCUAGGCCAGAGCUCGCAAUGGAAGGAGGGCUCAAUGCAGGACAUGAGAGCAAUGCAAACGAUAUUCAUGCAACUUUCGUCAAAUAUGUGAAGUCUAAUGAUUGGGAUAAAGCGAUCCAGUUUCUUCGCGACCAUCCCCAGGUAGGAAGUGAAAGAAUUUCAAUUGGCGGUACAGCUCUUCGCUACGCAGUCCGGCCGCUUAACAACUGCAGCGUGCGCAAUAUAGAACAAUUGGUGGAGUUAAUGGCAAAGGAAGAUUUGGCAAUUCAAGACACAUUCGGUCCACAGCUCUGUAUCUUUUAAUAACAUUUCGUCAAAACAGGGUUGAAGUAGCCAAACGCAUGGUUGAAAAGAAUGACAAAUUACUUAGUAUUUUACCUUCCGGCACUGACGCCUCUAGUUGUCUUCGCUCGGAGUUUGUCAAAUGGGGAAAGAAUGGCUCGUUAUCUCUGUUCUGUUACUCCACGCCAAACACUGCACGUUACCGAUGCCUCUCAACUGAUUUCUCUCGGCUUUCGUUACAAACGAUUUGGUAAGAGAGGGAAUCGACUGACUUUCAAACAUGACCAA
This is a non-coding RNA of Malus domestica (apple), 3488 nucleotides long. The record is from RefSeq and is a predicted model, not a curated record. NCBI's taxonomy places the organism in Eukaryota, Viridiplantae, Streptophyta, Magnoliopsida, Rosales, Rosaceae.